Macaca mulatta (Rhesus monkey) is the source of this 117-nucleotide unclassified non-coding RNA. It matches the Rfam family "Metazoan signal recognition particle RNA". From Rfam's summary of the family: The signal recognition particle (SRP) is a universally conserved ribonucleoprotein. It is involved in the co-translational targeting of proteins to membranes. The eukaryotic SRP consists of a 300-nucleotide 7S RNA and six proteins: SRPs 72, 68, 54, 19, 14, and 9. The record is from Ensembl. NCBI's taxonomy places the organism in Eukaryota, Metazoa, Chordata, Mammalia, Primates, Cercopithecidae.
GCUGGGUGUGGUGGCUCACACCUGUAAUCCUAGCACUUUGGGAGGCCGAGGUAGGCGGAUUGCUUGAGCCCAGGAGUUUGAGACCAGCCUGGGCAACAAAGCGAGACCCUGUCUCUA